Non-coding RNA from Armillaria luteobubalina, 86 nucleotides. The record is from the annotation of a GenBank genome assembly. Lineage: Eukaryota; Fungi; Basidiomycota; Agaricomycetes; Agaricales; Physalacriaceae.
GACUUGAUGGUCUAGUAGUAUGAUUCCUUGUUAGGGCGGUCGCUGCAAUCUCGAGGAGGUCCUGGGUUCAAUUCCCAGUCAAGCCC